AUUCAGCUGACGUGUCCCAAAUAGGAUGAAACGCGCUUUCUGGAU
This 45-nucleotide non-coding RNA is filed under the name Schistosoma mansoni. The record is from RNAcentral. Lineage: Eukaryota; Metazoa; Platyhelminthes; Trematoda; Strigeidida; Schistosomatidae.